RNAcentral lists this long non-coding RNA (1146 nucleotides) under Monomorium pharaonis (pharaoh ant). RNAcentral describes it as "uncharacterized LOC118644753". The record is from RNAcentral. Lineage: Eukaryota; Metazoa; Arthropoda; Insecta; Hymenoptera; Formicidae.
AGAAAGUAAUAAAUAAUAUUAUAUAACACUCGCCAAUACACUAAACAUAUAUAGAAUAUUAAAUACGUAUUUAGAAUAUUCGGAUUGGUACGAAUGAACUGUCAUGCGCAUGUACGCAUCUCGCUAUUUUGCACGCCAGUGCACGCGUCUGCACACGCAACGCCGCAACAUGAUGAUGUGCGCGAGUUAUAUUAAAAGCAAGAGAGGAAGAAACACUAUUUGAGCGUAAAGUAGAAGAGUAGACGAGUAAGGAAAGAAAGAUGUAAAAGAGAGAUCAACCUCACAGCUUGGAAUUUACAGUGUGCCGAACAGAAUAUGUGGACCUUGAAGGUAUCAAAUAACAUAAUUUUACUAAAAAAGUUAUAGGAUGAAGUGAACAAUUUAUUUUUUGUGUGAGAAAGUAUCUAUUACAAUCUAACUUGUUCCGAGAAAACCUUUGCAAAAGAUUUAAUAAAGAACAAGCAAUUUGAUGAGAUUAUCAUAUCAUUAUUAUCAUAUUUAUUAUUCGAAUUUUAAAGAGAAACAGUAAGAAAUUUUAUUAAUACAUUAUUAAAAAAUUGUUGGCUGUUACACCAAAAUUCUCUUUCUUGUAAGCUGAUGUAUGCUAUUGAUAAAAAAUUCACCGAAGUUCAUCCCUGUUUUAGCUCAGCGAACCAUUAUAUGUAUAGAAAAUUGACAGAGCAAUUCAUAUCAAAAGGAUUAUCUAAAGGCGUACUUCCUAGUUCUUCAAGUAUGUUAUUUUAUGGCAUUAUCUUAUGGCAGGCUAGGUAAGAGAAUAAUGACAAAUGUUAUAAUUUUAUUUUAAUAUUGUAUUGCAACUGUGUGGCUCUUAAAGGUAUCGUACAACUAUCUUUUUUAGAUUACUGAAAUAAAUAAAAAGCGUGAAAUCUGAUCUGAAACAAUUACAACAAAGUAUACAGACUAAUAUCACUCAACUAAUCUGCCGAUGAUGUGGUCGCAGGCUGUAAUAUAGGAAAUAUGUUUAUGAAUGUCAAGGAUCAUCUAAUAAUUUAAGAAUGACCAGUGGAUGUGCGUAUGAUUAUCUGGAAAUGUGCACAAAAGUGGAACUUGAGAUGGAACAUUUGAUUAUUUCCAUCUCUAAUUUGCUGGGUUUUAUUCUAAAAACAUAUAAUGGCUAUAAUUUAU